GUCGAACGGUAACAGGUAAAGCUGACGAGUGGCGAACGGGUGAGUAAUGUAUCGGAACGUGCCCAGUCGUGGGGGAUAACUACUCGAAAGAGUGGCUAAUACCGCAUGAGACCUGAGGGUGAAAGCGGGGGACUCGCAAGAGCCUCGCGCGAUUGGAGCGGCCGAUAUCAGAUUAGCUUGUUGGUGGGGUAAAAGCCCACCAAGGCGACGAUCUGUAGCUGGUCUGAGAGGACGACCAGCCACACUGGGACUGAGACACGGCCCAGACUCCUACGGGAGGCAGCAGUGGGGAAUUUUGGACAAUGGACGCAAGUCUGAUCCAGCCAUGCCGCGUGCGGGAAGAAGGCCUUCGGGUUGUAAACCGCUUUUGUCAGGGAAGAAACGGGUUUGUCUAAUACACGGACCUAAUGACGGUACCUGAAGAAUAAGCACCGGCUAACUACGUGCCAGCAGCCGCG
Molecule: ribosomal RNA, 458 nt
Filed under: uncultured soil bacterium
Lineage: Bacteria
Description: bacterial SSU rRNA
Rfam family: Bacterial small subunit ribosomal RNA
Source: RNAcentral